Molecule: ribosomal RNA, 407 nt
Filed under: Porcellanidae sp. 2 KYKC-2019
Lineage: Eukaryota; Metazoa; Arthropoda; Malacostraca; Decapoda; Porcellanidae
Description: partial small subunit ribosomal RNA
Source: RNAcentral
UUUUGAAACCAGGAUUAGAUACCCUAUUAUACUAAUAUAAAAUUUAACUCUUAUUAUUAUUAGUUAUGUUCUUAAAAAUAAAAAAAUUUGGCGGKGUCUAAUUUAUUUAGGGGAACCUGUUUUAUAAUCGAUAAACCACSAAAAAUCUUACUUGUUUAAAAAUUUUGUAUACCGUUAUUAUUAGAUAAUUUUGAUAGAAAAAAAUAUUGUAAUUUGAUUUUAAAAUAUAUUAGAUCAAGGUGCAGACAAUAAGCAAGAAAAAAUGGGUUACAAUAAAUUUGGUUUAAGACGGAUAUUAGGUAGAGAAAAAGUAAUUGAAGGGGGACUUAAUUGUAACUAUUAUUUUAAUAAGUUAAAGUGAAAUAAACACUUGGACAUGUACAUAUCGCCCGUCGCUCGCGGGAAAA